AGUGAACGCUGGCGGUAGGCCUAACACAUGCAAGUCGAACGGCAGCACCGUAAGAGCUUGCUCUUACGGGUGGCGAGUGGCGGACGGGUGAGGAAUACAUCGGAAUCUACUUUUUCGUGGGGGAUAACGUAGGGAAACUUACGCUAAUACCGCAUACGACCUACGGGUGAAAGCAGGGGAUCUUCGGACCUUGCGCGAUUGAAUGAGCCGAUGUCGGAUUAGCUAGUUGGCGGGGUAAAGGCCCACCAAGGCGACGAUCCGUAGCUGGUCUGAGAGGAUGAUCAGCGACACUGGAACUGAGACACGGUCCAGACUCCUACGGGAGGCAGCAGUGGGGAAUAUUGGGCAAUGGGCGCAAGCCUGAUCCAGCCAUACCGCGUGGGUGAAGAAGGCCUUCGGGUUGUAAAGCCCUUUUGUUGGGAAAGAAAAGCAGCAGGUUAAUACCCCGCUGUUCUGACGGUACCCAAAGAAUAAGCACCGGCUAACUUCGUG
This 492-nucleotide ribosomal RNA is filed under the name uncultured bacterium. Its description in RNAcentral is "partial 16S ribosomal RNA". It matches the Rfam family "Bacterial small subunit ribosomal RNA", at positions 29 to 507 of the family's 1533-position model. The record is from RNAcentral.